RNAcentral lists this ribosomal RNA (460 nucleotides) under uncultured bacterium. Its description in RNAcentral is "partial 16S ribosomal RNA". It matches the Rfam family "Bacterial small subunit ribosomal RNA", at positions 338 to 795 of the family's 1533-position model. The record is from RNAcentral.
CCUACGGGUGGCAGCAGUGAGGAAUAUUGGUCAAUGGGCGCGAGCCUGAACCAGCCAAGUAGCGUGAAGGAUGCCUGCCCUACGGGUUGUACACUUCUUUUAUAAAGGAAUCAAGUGAGGCACGUGUGCCUUUUUGUAUGUCCUUUAUUAAUAAGGAUCGGCUAACUCCGUGCCAGCAGCCGCGGUAAUACGGAGGAUCCGAGCGUUAUCCGACUUUAUUGGGUUUAAAGGGAUCGUAAAUGGGUUGUUAAGUCAGUUGUGAAAUUUUGCGUCUCAAACGUAAAAUUGCAAUUGAUACUGGCAGUCUUGAGUACAGUUGAGGUAGGCGGAAUUCGUGGUGUAGCGGUGAAAUGCUUAGAUAUCACGAAGAACUCCGAUUGCGAAGGCAGCUUACUAAACUGCCACUGACAUUGAUGCUCGAAAGUGUGGGUAUCAAACAGGAUUAGAUACCCCAGUAGUC